GACGAACGCUGGCGGCGUGCUUAACACAUGCAAGUCGAACGGAAAGGCCCUGCUUUUGUGGGGUUCUCGAUUGGCGAACGCGUGCGUAACACGUGAGUAACCUGUUCUUGAUUUUGGGAUAACUCCAGGAAACUGGGGCUACUACCGGGUAGGAUCUCCUGCUCCAUGGUGGGGGUUGGAUAGUUUCGGCGGUUGGGGAUGGACUCGCGGCUUAUCAGCUUGUUCGUGGGGUAGUGGCUUACCAAGCCUUUGACGGGUAGCUGGCCUGAGAGGGUGACCAGCUACAUUAGGACUGAGAUAGGGACCAGACUCCUAUGGGAGGCAGCAGUGGGGAAUAUUGCCCACCGGUCCGAAGCCAUAUGAAGCAACGCCGGGUGCGGAAUGACGGCCUUCGGGUAGAAAACCGCUUUGGCCUGAGACGAAGCGUGUGUGACGGUACUGAGUAAAGAAGCACCGGCUAACUACGUG
This 468-nucleotide ribosomal RNA is filed under the name uncultured bacterium. Its description in RNAcentral is "partial 16S ribosomal RNA". It matches the Rfam family "Bacterial small subunit ribosomal RNA", at positions 28 to 507 of the family's 1533-position model. The record is from RNAcentral.